GCGAAGGUGGUGGAACUGGUAGACACGCUGGUCUCAGAAGCCAGUCCUCUUUGAGGUUGGGGGUUCAAGUCCCCCCCUUCGCACCA
RNAcentral lists this transfer RNA (86 nucleotides) under bacterium. RNAcentral describes it as "tRNA-Leu". It matches the Rfam family "tRNA". Rfam says of the family: Transfer RNA (tRNA) molecules are approximately 80 nucleotides in length. Their secondary structure includes four short double-helical elements and three loops (D, anti-codon, and T loops). The record is from RNAcentral.